GACGUAGGAUGCAAGCGUUGUCCGGAUUUAUUGGGCGUAAAGAGUUCGUAGGUGGUUUGUUAAGUCUGAUGUUAAAGACUGGGGCUCAACCUCGGAAAUGCAUUGGAUACUGGCAGACUUGAGUGUGGUAGAGGCAAUCGGAAUUCCAGGUGUAGCGGUGAAAAUGCGUAGAUAUCUGGAAGAACACCGGUGGCGCAAGCGGAUUGCUGGGCCAUAACUGACACUGAGGAACGAAAGCUAGGGGAGCAAAUGGG
This 254-nucleotide ribosomal RNA is filed under the name uncultured bacterium. Its description in RNAcentral is "partial 16S ribosomal RNA". It matches the Rfam family "Bacterial small subunit ribosomal RNA", at positions 524 to 776 of the family's 1533-position model. The record is from RNAcentral.